Molecule: long non-coding RNA, 2005 nt
Organism: Urocitellus parryii (Arctic ground squirrel)
Lineage: Eukaryota; Metazoa; Chordata; Mammalia; Rodentia; Sciuridae
Source: Ensembl
CCCAGGACAAUGACCGGCUCUGAGGCCAGCCAGCCUUCAGCAGGCAGAGUGCAGGGGACACUCGGCUUCGGCCUCCUGAGCGUACGCCCAGGUCACGCGGCUGUGCCUAGGAUCCUGAAGGCAGGUAAGACGGCUCUGUGCUCUGAGAUGCCUGUGGAUAUAGGUGACCAGGGGACACCGCUGCAGGCCUGUCCCCAGGACAGACUUCACAGGGUCCUCUGACCGUGGUAGUCACUUAAGCGCAGGUUUCUUGCCAGGCCAGAGCCGUCGGCURAAGGACCCCGACACCAGGCCCCGGCUGCUCCCUCCCGGGCCUGGGGCCACUCUCAGUCACCAAGGCUCAGGGCUCCUUCCCCCACACGACGCCGGGCUCUUUACCAGGCACCCAGCACCGCCCUCUCUCACGCMGGGCUUGGCGGCCUCCUGGGGCUGGAGCCCUGCCAGAGCUGCCAGCUGUCCCCACCCAGCCCUGAGGGCCGGGCACUCCGCUGGGAUCACGGCCCACAGAGCAGCUGCAGCUGCCCUCGCAUCAGGGGCACUGUGACGAGCGGCGACSCCGCCCUCAGGUCCUCCCCGGCCUCCCUCCCACCCCGUCAUCGGAGCCCGUCCCUGGGUCUCUCACAGAAGCCCUGGGCUUCCUGCCGGYGCCACGCCGUCCUGCCCACUCCAUCACGGAACCGUCAGGAGGUGAGCAGGGCCCUCCUACCACCGAGGCGGUCAGCUAACGUCCAGGUCAUCGUGAGCACAGCGCCCCUGGACACCAGAGCAGCUCAUGACCACUUGGCCCCGGCCUGCGCUGGCCAGCCAGGAGACUUUCCUUCCCUUAAAGGGGCCGCCCGCUGCGAGGGCAGCCAACACGGGCCAGGGUUCACGGAUACCCGCCCCGGCCAGGAGACAGGGUCGUCCACCACGUCACUGAAAUGUCUGAAAAGACGCCACAGAGCCCUGCCCUGCCACUCGUCCCCCGGGAUCUCCCCAAGUGCUCCUCCAAGGCCYGUCGUCUGAGUUGUGCGUUUCUUGGGCAGGUGGCCUUUAAGAUUUACACACAGAAGGGCACUUGUCGCACACACAGAUGAGGUGACACAAAUCACUCACUGGGGACGGGUUCAUCAGGAGGCUGACUCGAUUUCCGUUUGGAAUCCACGAGACAAGAACCCAGGGAGAAGGAAUGGCUGGGGUCCGCCGCCACCUGGGGGCACGGCCACCUCUGGGAGCGGUGACGCUCAUCAGCUGAGAGGCCUCGGCCGCGCGGACCCCACCUGUMGGAAGCAGUGAGUCCACUUCUUCUCAAAAAUCCAGCUUUGUCAGAAUAUCCCGACGCAGAUGAGACCCACGUAAAACGUCUUUGGAGUCCCUGAACCCCCAGGUGGCACCUGGCGGGAGAGUCCUCUGGAAAAURGCCCGGACUCACGAGAGCCGUAGGGAGCAGGAGAAGGGAAGGAACUUCCCGAGCAAGAGCCUCCGACUGUGCAGGACGUGACCUCGAGUGGCAUACACAACAGACUGGGGCGGCCACACUGUGGGACACCCCCGGGUGAUAGGAAGAACCGCGAGGAAAUGAUCCCCUACGGUUCUGGAURUCGUCCUCCUCCAGAGCAAGGCCCSGUGGYGAGGCACCGUCCAGGCAGCACUYGGGAGCCCCUCCCCGCCCCGGAUGGUCAUCCGACAGGAYCCUUCCUCCAGAAGGUUCCAGCUAAUGUGCCACCCUCGUGCCGUUUCCUACACUACGUUUUACCCCCAAAGAGUCAGCCAACACGAUUCCCCUCCACCUCACGGYAAGGGAACGUCGGAGGCACUGUGCGCAGAACGGCCCUCCCCACGCACCCUCAGGAGACCCGGCCACUCGRGCGUGGGACCYGCGUGCUUGACGCAAGACUCACCGCAGAGCGAGUGACCAGGAGGGGCCUGCUCAGCUGCCCCCAAGGGCGAGGGCAGUGGGCUCUCAGGGCGAUGCGGCCGGAGGCUCUGAGUGUGGCGCCCACAGCCCUGGUUUCAGGAUUCACGU